Molecule: ribosomal RNA, 257 nt
Filed under: Lactiplantibacillus plantarum
Lineage: Bacteria; Bacillati; Bacillota; Bacilli; Lactobacillales; Lactobacillaceae
Description: Lactobacillus plantarum partial 16S ribosomal RNA
Rfam family: Bacterial small subunit ribosomal RNA
Source: RNAcentral
AUCAUUUUCCUGCAGUAAGGUGAAGCAGUGAGGAGAGACGGCCGGUGGCAAACUGAAGGAAGGUGGGGAUGACGUCAAAUCAUCAUGCCCCUUAUGACCUGGGCUACUCGCGUGCUACAAUGGAUGGUACAGCGAGUUGAGAUCUCGCGAGAGUAAGCUAAUCUGUUAAAGCCAUUCUCAGUUCGGAUUGUAGGCUGCAACUAGCCUACAUGAAGUCGGAGUCGCUAGUUAUCGCGGAUCAGCAUGCCGCGGUGAAU